RNAcentral lists this small RNA (267 nucleotides) under Vigna angularis var. angularis. Its description in RNAcentral is "Non-protein coding transcript". Lineage: Eukaryota; Viridiplantae; Streptophyta; Magnoliopsida; Fabales; Fabaceae. The record is from RNAcentral.
GCAACAUGGGCAACAGAAAAAUUGCUUUAAAUUAUUCGGCAUUGUUGGCGUGAAAGUAGUUGUAUGUUCCAAAAUUCCAAAGGGUCGGUAGCCCAACAAACACAUAUUCAGUGUUUGACUAAUCACCCCAACCAAUCAGAAACAAGAGAAAUUGGAACGCCAACACCAUGUCUACAUCCCCUUUCAUCACCCCAACAUGCUUCUCUUAUCAUUGGACAACCCAUGUGAACUUCUCGUGCUACUGGUUGCAACUUGACCCAAUCAUAU